This 253-nucleotide ribosomal RNA is filed under the name uncultured bacterium. RNAcentral describes it as "partial 16S ribosomal RNA". It matches the Rfam family "Bacterial small subunit ribosomal RNA", at positions 524 to 776 of the family's 1533-position model. The record is from RNAcentral.
UACGUAGGGGGCAAGCGUUGUCCGGAAUCAUUGGGCGUAAAGAGCGUGUAGGCGGCCCGGUAAGUCCGCUGUGAAAGUCCAGGGCUCAACCCUGGGAUGCCGGUGGAUACUGUCGGGCUCGAGUCCGGAAGAGGAGUGUGGAAUUCCUGGUGUAGCGGUGAAAUGCGCAGAUAUCAGGAGGAACACCUGUGGUGUAGACGGCUUACUGGACCGCAACUGACGCUGAGACACGAAAGCGUGGGUAGCAAACAGG